GUUUUGAUUUUGGACCGCAUGUACAGAAAUCGAAGUGGAAAGUACCAAUAAGCUGGGAAAUGUACGCUGUGUUCGGGUGUGUCGUUUUUUGGUCUGGAGGAACCGGAUUACAGGUUCUCAUGAUUCUACCUCGACGAUAUUUACUACCAAUGGUAGGAAAGGGAAACUUAGGACCUUUGGAUCCAAAUAACGUCACCCCACCUACCACACACACUCCUCCAAAUUUACUGAACUAGGCCAUUUUAUGAAAAAUGGCCCAUCCAAGGUACUGUUCCGGUUUGCUGUCUCGCAAGAUGUUCAUGCUCCUAGAAGCAAUUGUAUGGAUGGCCCAUUCCAACUAGAAGGCAUAAAAUCCCCGGUAACGAGCCCUAGCUGGAAAUGUACCCCGGAUUGGUGGUUGAAACCUAAUGUGAAUGAGGAUGAGCUAAGGAUUUUCCUUUUUUUUUUGUUGUGGCUGAAGGAUGUGCAGGAAAUUUUUUACAUCCAUCCGUGCAUCUGGAUUUCAUCUCCUUUAGAUGAACUGCAAUGGCAACGAAGAUUCGGCGAAAAUUGCUGUUGAACAAUACCGGAUUUACUCUCAUCAUGCGUGCCAGGCCAACUAUCCUCGCCUGCAAGCUGUGGAUCCAAUCUAGGUCGUCCUGACCCAGAACAGAGGGUGAUGGAAGCUCGACCUCCGCGUUGGUGUUUGCCUCAGUGAUAGCCUGCGAUGGAUUUUGGACCACGAUUUCCUGUGUCGCGAUACCCGAUGGAUCGUAGGCAGAUUGCAAGAGUUGGACUAACUCAACCAACAUAUUUUGCAUCUGCGUUAGGAGAUUAGGUGAACCACGCGACGAACACAGAAGGGUAGCCACUCGUGUACCCACAUGGGCUAGACGGGCUAAACAAAUCCUUUUCUGUGAUUCAUCCGUGCUGCUAGAUUUUAAAAGUGUUUUUAAUUCAUUAAAUUUAAUUAGGCAAAGUUCCCGCUCAUUCUCGGGAUCGGUUCUUAGGCUUAAGGCACUUAAUUUUAAACCGGAUUCUUUCUCCCUUUUUAAGGCAUCUCGCAAACAUUUCCUUUUCCGAGAUAAAUCCAAACCUGAUAGUAUCACGUCGCGACAUUUGAGCUCUUGCUCAAGUUCAUCUUCCUCCAAUAACUCCACCCGCAUGACUUGAUACCAUUUCACCAAGCGAUCAAUCGCUUGAUUGAAACUCAAGUCCUCCAUCAUUGACUAACUCUAGCUUAAGAAAUAAUAAACUAACUAAUCGGUUGAUUUUGGAUAUGUGAGCUGAAAAAGAAAUAUGCAACUAAUGUGGGUGACUUUGGGUUUCUUUAAACGCCAAGAGGUAAGCAAUAUCUGGUAUGAACACAACUAAAUGCAAGAUUAGUCUUGGCAAAUAUGAACUUAUAAUUUUGCUGUUGGAUAAGAAGGUACUUUAGAAUGGUUAGUAACAAUUUCAGAUUGAUCAACAAUUCGGGAGAAGAGUAUGGUUUGUAUUAUAGUUAUAAUCAUUCGCUGCAAUCAGUGAAUUUUCAUCCCCAAAACUUCCUCGUGAAAUGACUUUAGAAAAACUUGCUUCAACAACUACGCGAUUUUAAUGAGGUUAAAUUUAACUGAAUUUC
Long non-coding RNA from Uranotaenia lowii, 1600 nucleotides. RefSeq lists it as uncharacterized. NCBI's taxonomy places the organism in Eukaryota, Metazoa, Arthropoda, Insecta, Diptera, Culicidae. The record is from RefSeq and is a predicted model, not a curated record. The transcript is spliced from 4 exons.